GAGGAUGACUGCACCUAUGACUACGUACUCACAUGGAUGCGUGGGUCCCGCAUAAAUAAAAUAAUGCCCGACCUCCCAUGUGUGUGUAUGCGGUCAUCCUCGAUGGUGUGUGUACCUCGUCGAACCUAUUUGAAUUAUGUUUCUCCUUCUUCCACUAGUGGAUUGGUGGUUUAACAUCUGAGUGGAUUUCUUUAUGGCGACCACUAAUCCAAAGAAAAAACAACGAUGGCUACUUCAUUUUCUUCCUUUAAAAGCUAUUAAAUUAAGAGAUUAUCGCACAACAGAAGGCGAGAUGCAUAGACUGAAACCUUACUUAGAUUUUAUUUGGGGAAUCCUUAAAUUAGAGGUAAUUUUUUGCCUUUGAAUUUACGUUUCUUCAAACUGAGCCGUAAAUCUGGGUUUCGUGAAGGCUACAAUGAGGUUUUUUAUGAUGAUUUUGCAUAUUUACAGAAUUUUAUAAUUCUUAUCAUUCUAUCAAAAUUGGCUAAACUUAAGAGCAAUAUACUUGGUACAUAUUCUUAGGUUUGAAUAUUUUGAAUUCAUAAUUUAUUGAUUGAAUCACUUUUAAAAUUUCAGCAGUGUUUGUUUAGCAAAAAAUCAAACAAUUAUGUACCGCGAUAUUCGUAAAAUUAUUUUUAUCCACAAUGAUUUGUGACGGUUUUUAAUUUUUUCGAUUUUUUUUUUAUUUUUUUUAGAGUCGAAAGGAUGUGGAAGGUUUUCUCUUUGUGGUGAAAAUGUAGUGUUUUCUUAGGAAUUUUUGUGAAGCUUGAUUUCCUUCUUUGACUGAGUUUUUAGGAUUUUCUAUGGAUUUAAUAAAUUUUGAUUUUCAGGAUGAUGUUGCAGCGAAUCGAUCAUUUUGUUGAACAAAUUCUAAUAACCACUGCUCAUGUCACCUUUUACGAAUCUAACAUUGAUACAAGCCACUGGGUAAUCUAUACACUGAGUAGAGGAAUUUACAUGCUUAUGUGGGCUUUAUGCGUGUAGAAAUGCAGCGUCACAUCGUUUAAUAUAUUUGACUUUUAUUCACAAUGAUUUGUGAGGGUUUCUAAUUAUUAUUUGCAUAGUUGAAAGGAAGUGGAACGUUAUCUCUUUGCGGUGAAAUGAUAGUUUUUUUCUUAGGAAUUUUUGUGAAGCUCGACUUUUUUAUUUUUUUUAUUUAUUAUUAUUAUUAUUAUUUUUUGGAUUGAGUUUCUAGGGGUUUAUGCAUUUAAUAAAUUUUGUUUUUCGGGAAUACUUAACCCUGGUUCCAGUUUAUAGUAAAGAAUCUACUCAGUAAAAUUGGUUACAUUUAGUUGAAUGACAUGCAAAAUUGAUUGCAAUUGACACAAGGAUGAAUUAUGGUGUACGUGAUAUGAUGCUCGAGUUCAUUAAUUUAAGCAGAUAAUUUGGUGUAGAAUCUCUUGGCUGAUUUUGAGUAUGAAGUGCAAGUUCCGUAUUUAUUGUAUCAUAAUGCUACUCGAGAUAAGUCGAAUAUUGUUCUAUAAUGCAUGUGAAUGUGAAGAAGUUGUGACUCUCUUUAGUAGGUAGGUAUUUUGUUUUACUCUUGUUCUCCGUUUUCUUAUAUGUGUAAUAAUUUUGUCUGUUUUCAUUUUGUU
This 1595-nucleotide long non-coding RNA is filed under the name Olea europaea subsp. europaea. The record is from RNAcentral. Lineage: Eukaryota; Viridiplantae; Streptophyta; Magnoliopsida; Lamiales; Oleaceae.